This 2142-nucleotide ribosomal RNA is filed under the name Triticum aestivum (bread wheat). RNAcentral describes it as "partial small subunit ribosomal RNA". The record is from RNAcentral. Lineage: Eukaryota; Viridiplantae; Streptophyta; Magnoliopsida; Poales; Poaceae.
AUGCCUAACCAGUCGGACACAUUGGAUGGUGGUGGCGAUGAGGCGGAGGAUGCGAUGGACAGGGGCAAAUCUGUUGUCUUGGAGGAGGAUCAGUCUGAAGAUGUCUCUUGCAGCCCUGAGAUCCAGAGUAAGGUUCCAGUCCCUCCUCCUUCUCACGGCAUGAAGAAGGGGGGUCACAAGGGUCCGGUCAUCCCUCCUGAGAAGCUCAAACAAUUGGCGGGGCUGCGAUCAGAACUGCUUAAGGAGGAGAAAACGCUGUUGGCCGAUUUUCGAAGACGGAAGGAGAGAGCACUGGAGGAGCAUGAGAGGACCGAAGGUGACUCGUUGCCGUGGACGCCGAGCGUGGAAUAUGUAUCAGUUGUGAGUGCUAUUUUGGAUGACCUCGAGCGAAACAGAGAGAAACAGAAGGAGGUCAAUCCUGUUUUUUUCGAAGCCAUGGAAGCCUGGUCGGCUGAAGUGGGGCGGAAGAAGAGGACCAAGUUGCGGAGGGGCAGCGGCAAAUCCCUCUUGGAGGAACCAGUUCUUUCUUGCGGCUCUCUGAUCCAGAGUGAGGUUCCAGGUCCUCCUUCCCCUCCUCCUUUACAACAGCAGAGGCAACCAUCUGUGUAUGACUGCCAUGAGAUUUAUCCGGAAGGUGCCCAUGAGGAUGAGGUGACAACCAUGGAGGUGCAUUUCAAAAAUUUGGACUUGUCUGGAACCAAAUUAGACGACGGGGAAAAGGUUGAGGCCAGGACGCAGCAGUCUGAAGUUAUUUCUAGUCGACCUGACAUCCAGAGUAAGGUUCCUCCUCGUCGCAGUAAGAAGGGAAAAUCCUUCGUGGAGAAGCAGUUGAUUGGUCCAUUGCCUUGUGAGACUGAGAUGCAAUCUCAACAACUUCCCCGCGGGCCUGAUACCAAGAUGCAGUCUCGUGGCAGUAAGAAGGGGAACCGCGGGGGUCAUAAGAAGGGGAAGCGCGGAGAUUGUGCUGCGGCUCCAUCUGCAAGGCCCCAACACCAUGCAGCCAUGGAUCUGAAGCAGGUCCAAGGCUCCAAUGAAUCCAAACUGUGCCCAUGUGAUCAUGAUAUGAAGAUGGAGAUGGACAGAGGCAAAUCGGCCCUGGAAAUAGCCAAAGAGGAGGAGAUGGCCUUUGAGGCCAACAGCUUUGCCUCGUACCGUACAAGCUGGGAAUCUAACUGGGGAGCGUGUGGCCGCGCGUUCUUCGAAGACACGACGACCGUGAGUCCCAUGCACUUUACCCACUGCACACCUGGAUGCGACCCAGGAGAUGCCGCCAUCGCUGGGGCCACCCUGCAGAUCUUCACCAUCAAGCUCGAGGAGUUAAAAGGCGGCCUUGAGUGGCCAUUGUCUGUGUAUGGGGUGGUUGCCGCUCGAGACUGCGUGGAUCACAGCCGCAACCUCCUCUUCUCUUGCGAUAGGUGGAGGUCGCAGAAGCUCAGUCAGGACGAUCCUUUUUUGCGCUUAAUUGGCCCGUCUCGUGCCAUUGUGUUUACUGAUGAUGUUUACUUUGAAACCGAGCUAAGAGUGAAAGGCAAAACAUUGUCUCAAGAUAUAGCAUUGAUUAGUGGGAGGCGCCAUUACAGCGGAGGACAUACCAUUUCCUUCAGCAACUGCUUCUGCAGAAUAGAGUUAUGCAUGGAGCGAAUUCAUGAAACUGUCCAGGCCACUAUAUUGGGUGUCUGUGUCAAAAAUGGACCAUGGCCUUUCGAUUACGGUGGUAAAGUGGCUUGCCUCUCACCACCGCGGACAUAUAAGGUCACUGAUGGUAAAGUCUUUUAUACUACUCAUGCCCCAUCCAUGGAAAUUGUGAUGCUUGCUUCACGCGGUAGAACAAUGCCUAAGGGUUCAUAUGGUUACCUUCGUCUAUCAAGGCAUGUAGUUUCUGUAGAAUUGGAAGGAAGCCUGAAUGUUGUCAUACAAGCCUACUCAGAAUCUGGUGAUAUCACCGCACAAGGUGAGGUUUGCUUCACGCCCAAAGCUUGCAAUAUAAGUCAGGAGACAUGUUUCUUGGGUGACCGUGACCCUAAGGUGGAAGUGGAGAUUACUGUCGCUUGGUCUCUUCUUGUUUCGAACAGGCGUCAUUUGAUGAUGAAUGGAAUGGACUUUGACGAAUUGAAAGAAGCGGUCAGUGGGAUGGGGGUUUGA